UACGUAGGGUGCGAGCGUUGUCCGGAAUUAUUGGGCGUAAAGAGCUUGUAGGCGGUUUGUCGCGUCUGCUGUGAAAAUCCGGGGCUUAACCCCGGACCUGCAGUGGGUACGGGCAGACUAGAGUGUGGUAGGGGAGACUGGAAUUCCUGGUGUAGCGGUGAAAUGCGCAGAUAUCAGGAGGAACACCGAUGGCGAAGGCAGGUCUCUGGGCCGAUACUGACGCUGAGGAGCGAAAGCGUGGGGAGCGAACAGG
RNAcentral lists this ribosomal RNA (253 nucleotides) under uncultured bacterium. RNAcentral's name for it is "partial 16S ribosomal RNA". It matches the Rfam family "Bacterial small subunit ribosomal RNA", at positions 524 to 776 of the family's 1533-position model. The record is from RNAcentral.